This 253-nucleotide ribosomal RNA is filed under the name uncultured bacterium. Its description in RNAcentral is "partial 16S ribosomal RNA". It matches the Rfam family "Bacterial small subunit ribosomal RNA", at positions 524 to 776 of the family's 1533-position model. The record is from RNAcentral.
UACAGAGGGUGCAAGCGUUGUUCGGAAUUAUUGGGCGUAAAGAGCUCGUAGGCGGCCUGUCGCGUCGGUUGUGAAAGCCCGGGGCUCAACCCCGGGUCUGCAGUCGAUACGGGCAGGCUAGAGUUCGGUAGGGGAGAUCGGAAUUCCUGGUGUAGCGGUGAAAUGCGCAGAUAUCAGGAGGAACACCGGUGGCGAAGGCAACCACCUGGGCCUGCAUUGACGCUGAGGUACGAAAGCGUGGGGAGCAAACAGG